Molecule: ribosomal RNA, 426 nt
Filed under: Podarcis tauricus tauricus
Lineage: Eukaryota; Metazoa; Chordata; Lepidosauria; Squamata; Lacertidae
Description: partial 16S ribosomal RNA
Rfam family: Bacterial large subunit ribosomal RNA
Source: RNAcentral
CGGCUAAAUGAGGACAAAGCUGUCUCUUACGGCCUAGCCAAUGAAAUUGAUCCUCCAGUACAAAAGCUGGAAUAAACUCAUAAGACGAGAAGACCCUGUGGAGCUUUAAAACCAAGAUCAUUAAACUAUGCUCCUUGGAUUUUUAGUUGGGGCGACUUUGGAGCAAAAAAAACCCUCCAAAACAUAAAUUUAAUUAUUUAGACCAACACACCAAGAAAAUUAUAUUAGACCCAGCAGUAUUUUUUUACUGUCUGACCAAUGAACCAAGUUACCCCAGGGAUAACAGCGCUAUCCUCUUCUAGAGUCCCUAUCGACAAGAGGGUUUACGACCUCGAUGUUGGAUCAGGACACCCCUAUAGUGCAGCCGCUAUAAAAGGUUCGUUUGUUCAACGAUUAAAGUCCUACGUGAUCUGAGUUCAGACCGGA